RNAcentral lists this small RNA (127 nucleotides) under Marmota monax (woodchuck). Lineage: Eukaryota; Metazoa; Chordata; Mammalia; Rodentia; Sciuridae. The record is from RNAcentral.
GCUGGGUGUGGUGGCCCAUGCCUAUAAUCCCAGUGAUUGGGGAGGCUGAGCCAGGAGGAUUGUUAGUUUGAGGUCAGCUUUGGCAAUUUAGUGAGGCCUUGAGCAACUUAGCCAGACCUUAUCUCUC